CACCUGUCCUGCCUGGAAGGCCAGGUGUUGACCCUCAGCCGGGCCAUUUCAGUAGACUGCCAGGGAGCUGGAGGGCGAUCUGGAGGCUGAGUGGGCGCCACAAGGAUCAGGAGGAAAUGCAAUGAGACCACACAUUUCCGGAUCUGGCAGGGAAAUAAGAGGAUGGUUACUGGGAGGGGGCCGGGCAGCGAAGACACGGGAGACGCGCGUGGGUUUGCAGGCGCCUGGGAAGAGCCUGGGAGGAAGCAGCGGAGAAUCGAGAAGGAGGGCACGUCGUGGGCGUGCACCCAGCUGGGUGGGAGAGUCUGAUGAUGAGUCAGCGCUCGGCAAACCCAGCGGGUGAGAGAAGGGGAGGCGGCGCCGGCUGCGUGGCUAGGGCCAGGAUCUGGGCUUCCUCCCUCCAAGUUCACGCUGGGGUUGCUCUGGAGAGGAGGAACGAUCGUGGAGGAGGCUCAAGCCACUAAACACAGAACCGCAGCACAGCCUCCGGCCUCCCGCUCCUUGCAAUAGGCUAAGUGCUCUCUGGGAUCUGGGAGACCUCGGAGAACUCUGCCCUGGGCUUGGAGCCCAGAGUGAAGCCACCAGGGAGGGACUCGAUGGGGGAGGGUAGCUCAGCUUCUGCCUCUCUUCCCUACAAGGUUCCUUCCCUCUCCAAGGACUGUUAUUACUUCAUUUUGAAGAUGUGAGUCCACUUUGUGCUUUGGACCCCUUUGGCAGGCUCAUGGAACCUGUGGACCUUUUCUCAGAUUAAAUGCAUAAAAUAAAAUACCUAGGUUUGCCACAUAUAUGGGAGUUUUGCUUGCAUUUUCCCGAUUGAAUCCACGGGUUCUACCACUUAGCUCCAUCCCCAGACCUCUUCUUUUUUUUUUUUUUUUGAGACAGGGUCUCACUAAGUUGCUGAGGCUGGCCUUGAAGUUGCUAUCCUCCUGCUUCAGCCUCCCAAGUCUCUUAGAGAUUACAGGUGUGAGCCACCAAGCCAGGCCAGUGUAUACCUCUUUACAAAGUGUUAAAGACCUAGCCAGGGUCCAUUUCAAAGUGGUGAUGAGCUAUGUGAAAAACUCUAAUGUGAUGUAAAAAUGUCAGUGAUUUCUGGAGACAAAGUCACAGGUUCCCCUUCCAACUGUGGUUGCUGCUGACUGUCACAAUGAAAAGAAUGCUCAGUUUGGUGGACCUUACUGAAAAUAAAGAUGUACCUUCU
RNAcentral lists this long non-coding RNA (1198 nucleotides) under Marmota monax (woodchuck). The record is from RNAcentral. Lineage: Eukaryota; Metazoa; Chordata; Mammalia; Rodentia; Sciuridae.